UCUCUUGGUCUCCAAACCCACUAUUUCGCCGUUCUCCUCAGUAUUCUCUUUCCCGGAGCCACCGUCCUCAGAGAGUAGCACCGUCGAACAGCCCGGAACAACAAUCUCCGUCGACUGUUCUGCUCUCUAUUAUCCUCCCGGUUGGACAAUGUUUCUCAAAGUCCAGUUACCGUGGAAUGUGACGAUUCCAGCUGAAAACAUGGACGCCAAAAGGGCUGAUUCUAAUGAGGGCUAUACUAAUAGAGUUUACCAGACGCAUUUGGACUCUGCUGAUAAAUUUUGAAUUAUCACAACACUUGGCGAUUAGGCUGCUUAAUGAGAGGCUUCAGGAUCCAACGAUGCAGGAAUCACUUGUAUCUAUCUUCCCUAAAGAUAAUCCAAAGAGCACGAGGUUUGCAAUCAACUUCGAACACCCAUUGGUCUUGGAGGCAUCACAGAGAACCUGAGAGAGUAUCUGAAGAACAUGCCACGCCUGAUCAUGCAACAGCAGAAGCAAGUUGCGGAGUCAGAAUCAGGAUCAUCAUCUGGAUCUGACAGUUCUGGUUCCAACUCUGAAUCUGAGUUAGAAUCAUCCUCUUCUUCUAGUUCGGAUGAAAGCGACAGAGAGAAGAGGAAGCGAAGAAGAAGAGCUAGACACCUGUGUUUGGUUUGUUAUCUCCACCAAAAAAUUUCAAAUCUCCGACUAAUAUAUUAAUGAAAAGGACCUUGCAGAUAUACUAGAAGAUAUAACCAAAUCGCUGGCAGCUGUUCAGGCUAUGGAUCUUGCCAAAGAGCGUGAAAAAUUAAGAGAUCUGCAGCUAUCUCUACAGGUUGAAACGAAGCGAGUUAGAAGCUGCUUUCGAAGAGAGCAGGAAGCCAACCAGUAGCAAAGUAUUCCGGGACGCCACAGAGCUGAAAAAGGAUUUCACCAACAAUGCUGAAUCUGCUGUUGCUUCCUUAAGAGGAUUGUCAGCUAAUAAAACCUCUAGUCAAGCGGAUCUCACACUUCUCUUCCGUGCUGCGGCUCAGGAAGCCAAAAUUUCUAGAGCACAAAAUCGAAUUUUCAGGGUGAUUCUCAUAUACUGCAGGUCAUCAAUGAGACCAACACAUGGUUGACCCUUAAACCAGAAGCUCUUCACAUUGGAUG
Molecule: long non-coding RNA, 1126 nt
Organism: Camelina sativa (false flax)
Lineage: Eukaryota; Viridiplantae; Streptophyta; Magnoliopsida; Brassicales; Brassicaceae
Source: RefSeq, a predicted model, not a curated record